Molecule: non-coding RNA, 752 nt
Organism: Misgurnus anguillicaudatus (oriental weatherfish)
Lineage: Eukaryota; Metazoa; Chordata; Actinopteri; Cypriniformes; Cobitidae
Source: RefSeq, a predicted model, not a curated record
CCCUCCCUCAGCUCACAACGCGCUGCUUAUCUCACGUGAUGCUAAAAAACGACUCAACCAAAAAGCCAAAUACUUCCAUCUACAUGUCUUUAUUAAUUAGACAAACAUUAAAAAUAUAACGCAGACUGUUCCUGUGUUAUAGAGAGUGUCAUGUACAAACAGACAGGUGUUUUCCUGCUUUCAUAGCUUAAAGGAAUGCCUCAUCAGAACUGCCUGGGCGGGACUGCGGACCCGGUCUUUGGACUUGGAGAGGGAGGCUAUGGAGGUGUUGAGUCAGUGUUUCCAAGGCGGCGCUGGAGGAGAAAGCAUGGCGCGCUUUCUAUGCGGUGACACCUCAUUGACAGAGCCGAGCGCUAUUGUACCACCAACAGUAUUGUGUGAGAGUGAAGAAUGUGGUUUGCUUGAUAUCAUCCUCAUCCUCAUCUUUCAUGUCUUUUGUUCUGCUGGAGAGAGAAGUUAACAGUGUAAAGUGUGAAGGACUGGUCAUGGUCACGUAAGGUGGAGUGAUAUAUGUCGCCUUGACUCCUUCCUCAGCCAUUCUGUCCAGAUUUGGAGUGUCCACAUCUCUGUCAUAGUCCCACCUGAAGCCGUCGAACGAGACUAACAGCAGUUUGUUUUUGCCUGUGGUGCAUUGUUGUCUAGCUGGAGCCGAGAGAGCGGCUGGUAAUACAAGCAGCCAAAGACUCAGUUCUAAUAACAUGACUAUUCCACUAAACUCACAGGUACGAUUUAGAUUAAAUAAUAUUGCUGUA